Molecule: ribosomal RNA, 502 nt
Filed under: Pseudomonas sp. DsF.N017
Lineage: Bacteria; Pseudomonadati; Pseudomonadota; Gammaproteobacteria; Pseudomonadales; Pseudomonadaceae
Description: bacterial SSU rRNA
Rfam family: Bacterial small subunit ribosomal RNA
Source: RNAcentral
UAGGAAUCUGCCUGGUAGUGGGGGACAACGUUUCGAAAGGAACGCUAAUACCGCAUACGUCCUACGGGAGAAAGCAGGGGACCUUCGGGCCUUGCGCUAUCAGAUGAGCCUAGGUCGGAUUAGCUAGUUGGUGAGGUAAUGGCUCACCAAGGCGACGAUCCGUAACUGGUCUGAGAGGAUGAUCAGUCACACUGGAACUGAGACACGGUCCAGACUCCUACGGGAGGCAGCAGUGGGGAAUAUUGGACAAUGGGCGAAAGCCUGAUCCAGCCAUGCCGCGUGUGUGAAGAAGGUCUUCGGAUUGUAAAGCACUUUAAGUUGGGAGGAAGGGCAGUAAGUUAAUACCUUGCUGUUUUGACGUUACCGACAGAAUAAGCACCGGCUAACUCUGUGCCAGCAGCCGCGGUAAUACAGAGGGUGCAAGCGUUAAUCGGAAUUACUGGGCGUAAAGCGCGCGUAGGUGGCUCGUUAAGUUGGAUGUGAAAGCCCCGGGCUCAACCUG